Molecule: ribosomal RNA, 465 nt
Filed under: uncultured bacterium
Lineage: Bacteria
Description: SSU rRNA
Rfam family: Bacterial small subunit ribosomal RNA
Source: RNAcentral
AGCCUGAACGCUGGCGGCGUGGUUAAGACAUGCAAGUCGCACGGACGUAGCAAUACGUUAGUGGCGAACGGGUGAGUAAUGAAUCGCUAAUGUACCCCGGACUCUGGGAUAGCCGGUCGAAAGAUCGGGUAAUACCAGAUGAUAUGCUUUUAUCGCAUGAUAGAAGCCUCAAAGGUCCGCCGGUCUGGGAGCAGGCGAUUUUGUAUCAGCUAGUUGGUGAGGUAACGGCUCACCAAGGCGACGACGCAUAGCCGGACUGAGAGGUUGGCCGGCCACAUUGGGACUGAGACACUGCCCAGACUCCUACGGGGGGCUGCAGUAACGAAUCUUCCGCAAUGUACGAAAGUAUGACGGAGCGACGCCGCGUGUAGGACGAAGCCCUUCGGGGUGUAAACUACUGUCAAGGGUUAGAAAGUUCCGAUCAACCCUAGAGGAAGGCACGGCUAACUCUGUGCCAGCAGCCGC